Spodoptera frugiperda (fall armyworm) is the source of this 834-nucleotide long non-coding RNA. RefSeq lists it as uncharacterized. NCBI's taxonomy places the organism in Eukaryota, Metazoa, Arthropoda, Insecta, Lepidoptera, Noctuidae. The transcript is spliced from 2 exons. The record is from RefSeq and is a predicted model, not a curated record.
AACCUUAGGAAGGACAUAGAUAUAUUUUUAUUUCAAAAAUCAAAAAAUAAAAAUAAGAAAUAAAUUAUUUAUAAAUAAUUCUAUGUCGAUCGUUACACGACUUCGGUUCAUGUUAUUGUUUUAAUUUAUCGAAAAAAAGUAAAUAAAUAGUAAAAAGGUAUGAAAAAAAUAAUAUCAAUAUAAUAAAACAUUUAGUACAAAGAAAAUGCUCUAACGGAGUAUAGAUAAUUCUAUGUCGAUCGUUACACGACUUCGGUUCAUGUUAUUGUUUUAAUUCAUCGAAAAAAAGUAAAUAAAUAGUAAAAAGGUAUGAAAAAAAUAAUAUCAAUAUAAUAAAACAUUUAGUACAAAGAAAAUGCUCUAACGGAGUAUAGAUAAUUCUAUGUCGAUCGUUACACGACUUCGGUUCAUGUUAUUGUUUUAAUUCAUCGAAAAAAAGUAAAUAAAUAGUAAAAAGGUAUGAAAAAAAUAAUAUCAAUAUAAUUAAACUUUUAGUACAAAGAAAAUGCCCGAACGGAGUAUAAAUAAAUAAUCCAAGUUGUCUUUAUCCUCGAUAGAUGGCGUUGGGAUCGAAAUAGAUCGCGCUAUGGUUUCGUUACAUUCAUUUGGUUGGGUAUCGGCCGAGCGCUUCGGUACUAUCGUAGAAAAAGUGUAUUAUCAGUCGUAUGAUUAUUUGUCUGUAGUGGUCCUGCUGUUUCGUAUAUUCUAAAUUGGUUUCGUUGUAUUUGUCAAUUAAUAAGUUUAUUUGUUGGGUUUUCCUGGUUUUUUGGUUAAACUAUUUAACGUAGGUUUAGUUUGAUAUCGAUUAUUAGUAGUUACUGUAGUUAGUUUUUU